Molecule: ribosomal RNA, 920 nt
Filed under: Staphylococcus sp. KB2.4R
Lineage: Bacteria; Bacillati; Bacillota; Bacilli; Caryophanales; Staphylococcaceae
Description: bacterial SSU rRNA
Rfam family: Bacterial small subunit ribosomal RNA
Source: RNAcentral
CCUUAUUACCGCGUUACUGGUACCGCGACUAGAGUUUGAUCCUGGCUCAGCAAGUCGUAACAAGGUAGCCGCCGUUAGUGUACCAGCAACUCCUACCUAUAAGACUGGGAUAACUUCGGGAAACCGGAGCUAAUACCGGAUAAUAUAUUGAACCGCAUGGUUCAAUAGUGAAAGACGGUUUUGCUGUCACUUAUAGAUGGAUCCGCGCCGCAUUAGCUAGUUGGUAAGGUAACGGCUUACCAAGGCAACGAUGCGUAGCCGACCUGAGAGGGUGAUCGGCCACACUGGAACUGAGACACGGUCCAGACUCCUACGGGAGGCAGCAGUAGGGAAUCUUCCGCAAUGGGCGAAAGCCUGACGGAGCAACGCCGCGUGAGUGAUGAAGGUCUUCGGAUCGUAAAACUCUGUUAUUAGGGAAGAACAAAUGUGUAAGUAACUAUGCACGUCUUGACGGUACCUAAUCAGAAAGCCACGGCUAACUACGUGCCAGCAGCCGCGGUAAUACGUAGGUGGCAAGCGUUAUCCGGAAUUAUUGGGCGUAAAGCGCGCGUAGGCGGUUUUUUAAGUCUGAUGUGAAAGCCCACGGCUCAACCGUGGAGGGUCAUUGGAAACUGGAAAACUUGAGUGCAGAAGAGGAAAGUGGAAUUCCAUGUGUAGCGGUGAAAUGCGCAGAGAUAUGGAGGAACACCCAGUGGCGAAGGCGACUUUCUGGUCUGUAACUGACGCUGAUGUGCGAAAGCGUGGGGAUCAAACAGGAUUAGAUACCCUGGUAGUCCACGCCGUAAACGAUGAGUGCUAAGUGUUAGGGGGUUUCCGCCCCUUAGUGCUGCAGCUAACGCAUUAAGCACUCCCGCCCUGGGGAGUACGAACCGCAAGGUUGAAAACUUCAAAGGAUAUUUGACGGGGGGACCCCGCCACAG